GACGAACGCUGGCGGCGUGCCUAAUACAUGCAAGUAGGACGCACAGCCCAUACCGUAGCUUGCUACACCAUAGGCUGUGAGUUGCGAACGGGUGAGUAACGCGUAGGUAACCUGCCUAUUAGAGGGGGAUAACUAUUGGAAACGAUAGCUAAUACCGCAUAACAGUAUGUAACACAUGUUAGAUGCUUGAAAGAUGCAAUUGCAUCGCUAGUAGAUGGACCUGCGUUGUAUUAGCUAGUAGGUAGGGUAAUGGCCUACCUAGGCAACGAUACAUAGCCGACCUGAGAGGGUGAUCGGCCACACUGGGACUGAGACACGGCCCAGACUCCUACGGGAGGCAGCAGUAGGGAAUCUUCGGCAAUGGGGGGAACCCUGACCGAGCAACGCCGCGUGAGUGAAGAAGGUUUUCGGAUCGUAAAGCUCUGUUGUAAGUCAAGAACGAGUGUGAGAGUGGAAAGUUCACACUGUGACGGUAGCUUACCAGAAAGGGACGGCUAACUACGUGCCAGCAGCCGCGGUAAUACGUAGGUCCCGAGCGUUGUCCGGAUUUAUUGGGCGUAAAGCGAGCGCAGGCGGUUUGAUAAGUCUGAAGUUAAAGGCUGUGGCUCAACCAUAGUUCGCUUUUGGAAACUGUCAAACUUGAGUGCAGAAGGGGAGAGUGGAGUUCCAUGUGUAGCGGUGAAAUGCGUAGAUAUUGGAGGAACACCGGUGGCGAAAGCGGCUCUCUGGUCUGUAACUGACUCUGAUGCUCUUAAACCUGCGGAGCGAACAUU
RNAcentral lists this ribosomal RNA (773 nucleotides) under uncultured Streptococcus sp. RNAcentral describes it as "bacterial SSU rRNA". It matches the Rfam family "Bacterial small subunit ribosomal RNA", at positions 28 to 776 of the family's 1533-position model. The record is from RNAcentral. Lineage: Bacteria; Bacillati; Bacillota; Bacilli; Lactobacillales; Streptococcaceae.